This 253-nucleotide ribosomal RNA is filed under the name uncultured bacterium. RNAcentral's name for it is "partial 16S ribosomal RNA". It matches the Rfam family "Bacterial small subunit ribosomal RNA", at positions 524 to 776 of the family's 1533-position model. The record is from RNAcentral.
UACGUAGGGUGCAAGCGUUAAUCGGAAUUACUGGGCGUAAAGCGUGCGCAGGCGGUUCGCUAAGACCGAUGUGAAAUCCCCGGGCUUAACCUGGGAAUGGCAUUUGGGACUGCAAGGCUCGAGUGCGGCAGAGGAGACUGGAAUUCCUGGUGUAGCAGUGAAAUGCGUAGAUAUCAGGAGGAACACCGAUGGCGAAGGCAGGUCUCUGGGCUGACACUGACGCUCAUGCACGAAAGCGUGGGGAGCAAACAGG